Molecule: ribosomal RNA, 771 nt
Filed under: uncultured bacterium
Lineage: Bacteria
Description: bacterial SSU rRNA
Rfam family: Bacterial small subunit ribosomal RNA
Source: RNAcentral
AGAGUUUGAUCAUGGCUCAGGACGAACGCUGGCGGCGUGCUUAACACAUGCAAGUCGAGCGGAAAGGCCCUUCGGGGUACUCGAGCGGCGAACGGGUGAGUAACACGUGAGCAAUCUGCCCUUAGCUUUGGGAUAGCUCCGGGAAACCGGGAUUAAUACCGGAUAUGACUGCGGCUGACAUCGGUUGUGGUGGAAAGAUUUAUCGGCUAGGGAUGAGCUCGCGGCCUAUCAGCUUGUUGGUGGGGUAAUGGCCUACCAAGGCGACGACGGGUAGCCGGCCUGAGAGGGCGACCGGCCACACUGGGACUGAGACACGGCCCAGACUCCUACGGGAGGCAGCAGUGGGGAAUAUUGCGCAAUGGGCGGAAGCCUGACGCAGCGACGCCGCGUGCGGGAUGAAGGCCUUCGGGUUGUAAACCGCUUUCAGCAGGGACGAAGCGUGAGUGACGGUACCUGCAGAAGAAGCGCCGGCUAACUACGUGCCAGCAGCCGCGGUAACACGUAGGGCGCAAGCGUUGUCCGGAAUUAUUGGGCGUAAAGAGCUCGUAGGUGGUCCGUUGCGUCCGCUGUGAAAAUCCAGGGCUUAACCCUGGACUUGCAGUGGAUACGGGCGGACUAGAGGUAGGUAGGGGAGAAUGGAAUUCCCGGUGUAGCGGUGAAAUGCGCAGAUAUCGGGAGGAACACCGGUGGCGAAGGCGGUUCUCUGGGCCUUACCUGACACUGAGGAGCGAAAGCGUGGGGAGCGAACAGGAUUAGAUACCCUCGUAGUCC